AGCUAAUAGAUACCCAGGUAGUCCACGCCCUAAACGAUGUCUACUAGUUGUUGGUGGAGUAAAAUACCAUGAGUAAACGCAGCUAACGCGUGAAGUAGACCGCCUGGGGAGUACGGUCGCAAGAUUAAAACUUACAAAGGAAUUGACGGGGGCCCGGCACAAGCGGUGGAUUAUGUGGAUUAAUUCGAUGCAACGCGAAAAACCUUACCUGGCCUUGACAUGCCACUAACGAAGCAGAGAUGCAUAGGUGCCCGUAAGGGAAAGUGGACACAGGUGCUGCAUGGCUGUCGUCAGCUCGUGUCUGAGAUGUUGGGUUAAGUCCCGCAACGAGCGCAACCCUUGCCAUUAAUUGCCAUCAUUUAGUUGGGCACUUUAAUGGGACUGCCGGUGACAAACCGGAGGAAGGUGGGGAUGACGUCAAGUCCUCAUGGCCCUUAU
RNAcentral lists this ribosomal RNA (438 nucleotides) under uncultured bacterium. RNAcentral's name for it is "bacterial SSU rRNA". It matches the Rfam family "Bacterial small subunit ribosomal RNA", at positions 767 to 1205 of the family's 1533-position model. The record is from RNAcentral.